This is a long non-coding RNA of Arachis duranensis, 320 nucleotides long. RefSeq lists it as uncharacterized. The record is from RefSeq and is a predicted model, not a curated record. The transcript is spliced from 4 exons. Lineage: Eukaryota; Viridiplantae; Streptophyta; Magnoliopsida; Fabales; Fabaceae.
CUGACGAAGAAGAACCACCAGUAGCUUCUACCAGCGCCUCCUCAAAACUCAGGGUGGAUACCGGCGUAAAGCAUGCUAUGAAGUGUGGGAGAACCGCGUAAGAAUAGAAGGGAUUAAGGGUUUCUUCAAUCUACUUUUUAGGCAUUUUCGCUCAUUCGACAAUGGCAACAUGGUUGCAGAGGAUAAUUAGAACCAGAGCCUCUAGUUUUCCCCCAACAACACCAAAACUGCUCCCUCAUCAUUCUUCUUCUUCUUCUUCUAGAUUCUUCUCCAAAUCAACCCAAUACAUUGUGAAGGUUGGAAUACCAGAAUUUCUAACU